RNAcentral lists this long non-coding RNA (609 nucleotides) under Oryctolagus cuniculus (rabbit). RNAcentral describes it as "lncRNA (ENSOCUG00000034852.1)". Lineage: Eukaryota; Metazoa; Chordata; Mammalia; Lagomorpha; Leporidae. The record is from RNAcentral.
AAUAAAGCAGAAUUGUUCUUAUCUUCCCAACCUUGGCAAGAACCCACACUUCACGGUUUCCAGAUGAUCACAGCUGGUCAUAGAGGCCCACAGCAAUGAAGGGAAUUUCAGGAAAAAUUGAAUCCAGUGACAUGAAAGAGUUGAAAAGACAAUGACUACAGUAAUCUAAGAGCUUCCGGCUGGAAGUCUGACGUGGAAGUCUGCCUUUUGGGCUCCUUCAUGAAUCUGACUUUGGGAUCAGAGAAAAGAUACAGACAUGAGACACUUAUCUCUCUUGUCCACAAUGUUCAGACUCUGCUACCAGGAUAUUUCAGCUCUGUAAACCACAAGAACCCAAGAAUGCCACUCAUGGGAAUCUGGCAAGACCACCCUCUCAAGACUUAACUCUUCCCAAGAAACAAUGAAAUAUCCUGCCAAAUAAGUAUGCAGCCCUUCAGUCUGGACAGAUGGCCACAGAAAAGGCUAAUGUGAAAUUUCCAGGAUUGGAGACAGAAAUUCAUAGCAUAUGGCUUUCAUCUGGGCUUUUCCAGGUAAAACUAUACCAGAUGUGAUUCUAAUUUGUAAACAACUUUCAAAAUGCCUUAUGUUUUUUUCACUUUCUCAUACCCC